GAAUAUAUGAGAAGCAAAUCAGAACAAUAUUUCAGCAAUAAAUAUGUUAGUAGGAAAAUAGUAGUUGUGAGUUAAAUAACCAGAAAAUAAUUAUAUAAAUGUCAGCAAGUAAAAUUUAUUGUAUGGUGAAUAAUACAACUAAAUUGGAAUAGCCAUUUAUGCAAUCAACUGUGGGAGAACAACCCUAAAAUGGAAAGAUUGACUGAGAGCAAAUACUCAUUUUGAGGUUAAAGAUGCUGCCACCACAUUUCUGAAUGAAAUAACACCUUUUACAUGGAUAGUAAUGUUACAUAAUACUAAGUGAUUUAGUAUCUAUGUUCAUAGUCUUAGAGCACCAUAAACCUUAUCAGGAAAGGCAGGUUAAAUUGGACAUUUCAGAGAUUUAAUGUUUGAAAAACAAGCUAUGGAAAAAAAAAAAAGGAUAAACAAGAUCUAAGAGUUUGAUAAAUCACUGUCAGAGCUACAAUUGGACUAAGAUAGCAGGUGUAGAAAUAGAGGCCCCGAGGAGACAGAGGAAGCUGAAGAUGAAUGGUAUCAAAUGUUACCUUUAAUGGAAAACAACUUGGACAGAAUGCUCUAAGCACUCAGGUUUCUUUAUUGCAACUUCACUUGUCUUAUUUUCCUUCACCACUUUGAGAGUGAUGCUCUGGAUCUCGGGAGCUUGGCACUGGAGUGAGGCACACAAAGUCUCAUUUCAAGAUGCUUUGCUAUUUUUUUGUAGGCUUCAACCUAAGAGAAGGCCAUAAAAUUGGAACAGUUUAUUGCGCUGGGGCAGAAAGCAUUGUCACUGAGCUGAUAGGCACUACCCUGGUCUCUGAAAAGCCCAGCUUCAUCACAGACAGCUUUAUUUUUACCCUGCAGGCACUCUUGAAGGAUUUGCUAGUAUGAAAGGGAGGCUGAAACAUGUCGACUUUGCCCAAGGAUGUCCAGUUGAAAUCACACUUGGUUGCAGGGGAGAUUGUAACUCCUGGUGGCUUUCUUUGAGUUGGGCUUUAUAUUUCUUUUAUUUUGUUUCAGUUUAUCUUCUACAGAUUUUACACAAUACUUUUCCCCAGAGCUUAACUUUCAGUUUCACCAUGUGGAAACUUUGUUGCUUGAAAACUGAUACAUCUUUGUAAGAAAGGCAUAUGUCUUUCAGAAAAUGAAUUCCGGGGUGAUCAACUUUGUGCCUGUGCAGAUCCCCACUGGGAAGUAAAUGGGAUUCUUAAUGUUUGAUUUUAGGUAUAAAAUGACAUAUAUAUACUAUAAUUACCUCUAAAUAUUUUGACAGAAGUGGAAUACAUUACAUUAUCAUGUUUUAAAUGCCCCAAAUGGAAUGUUUGAAUCUUGAUCAAAUGCAGUAUCUUUGAUUUUGUAAGCCCUACAGGGUAUUACAUAACUCUGAAAAAUUCUUAUUCAUUUUGCUAAUGAAUGAAUAAGGAUUGGAGCUCUUACUUUAUUAAAAGUAUUCUAGGCAUGUGAGGGAUAUAGAAAUAUCUGUCCGAAUUUCUGCCUAUAAAAA
RNAcentral lists this long non-coding RNA (1501 nucleotides) under Macaca fascicularis (crab-eating macaque). RNAcentral describes it as "lncRNA (ENSMFAG00000058324.1)". Lineage: Eukaryota; Metazoa; Chordata; Mammalia; Primates; Cercopithecidae. The record is from RNAcentral.